Molecule: ribosomal RNA, 506 nt
Filed under: uncultured bacterium
Lineage: Bacteria
Description: partial 16S ribosomal RNA
Rfam family: Bacterial small subunit ribosomal RNA
Source: RNAcentral
AGUGAACGCUGGCGGUAGGCCUAGCACAUGCAAGUCGAACGGCAGCACAGAGGAGCUUGCUCCUUGGGUGGCGAGUGGCGGACGGGUGAGGAAUACAUCGGAAUCUACUCUGUCGUGGGGGAUAACGUAGGGAAACUUACGCUAAUACCGCAUACGACCUACGGGUGAAAGCAGGGGACCUUCGGGCCUUGCGCGAUUGAAUGAGCCGAUGUCGGAUUAGCUAGUUGGCGGGGUAAAGGCCCACCAAGGCGACGAUCCGUAGCUGGUCUGAGAGGAUGAUCAGCCACACUGGAACUGAGACACGGUCCAGACUCCUACGGGAGGCAGCAGUGGGGAAUAUUGGACAAUGGGCGCAAGCCUGAUCCAGCCAUACCGCGUGGGUGAGGAAGGCCUUCGGGUUGUAAAGCCCUUUUGUUGGGAAAGAAAUCCAGCUGGCUAAUACCCGGUUGGGAUGACGGUACCCAAAGAAUAAGCACCGGCUAACUUCGUGCCAGCAGCCGCAGUAA